This 497-nucleotide ribosomal RNA is filed under the name uncultured bacterium. Its description in RNAcentral is "partial 16S ribosomal RNA". It matches the Rfam family "Bacterial small subunit ribosomal RNA", at positions 28 to 507 of the family's 1533-position model. The record is from RNAcentral.
GAUGAACGCUGGCGGCGUGCCUAAUACAUGCCAGUCGAGCGAACGGACGAGAAGCUUGCUUCUCUGAUGUUAGCGGCGGACGGGUAAGUAACACGUGGAUAACCUACCUAUAAGACUGGGAUAACUUCGGGAAACCGGAGCUAAUACCGGAUAAUAUUUUGAACCGCAUGGUUCAAAAGUGAAAGACGGUCUUGCUGUCACUUAUAGAUGGAUCCGCGCUGCAUUAGCUAGUUGGUAAGGUAACGGCUUACCAAGGCAACGAUGCAUAGCCGACCUGAGAGGGUGAUCGGCCACACUGGAACUGAGACACGGUCCAGACUCCUACGGGAGGCAGCAGUAGGGAAUCUUCCGCAAUGGGCGAAAGCCUGACGGAGUAACGCCGCGUGAGUGAUGAAGGUCUUCGGAUCGUAAAACUCUGUUAUUAGGGAAGAACAUAUGUGUAAGUAACUGUGCACAUCUUGACGGUACCUAAUCAGAAAGCCACGGCUAACUACGUG